Molecule: ribosomal RNA, 448 nt
Filed under: uncultured bacterium
Lineage: Bacteria
Description: partial 16S ribosomal RNA
Rfam family: Bacterial small subunit ribosomal RNA
Source: RNAcentral
AACGAACGCUGGCGGCAGGCUUAACACAUGCAAGUCGAACGCUCCGCAAGGAGAGUGGCAGACGGGUGAGUAACACGUGGGAACGUACCCUUUACUACGGAACAACUCCGGGAAACUGGAGCUAAUACCGUAUGUGCCCUUUGGGGGAAAGAUUUAUCGGUAAAGGAUCGGCCCGCGUUGGAUUAGCUAGUUGGUGGGGUAAAGGCCUACCAAGGCGACGAUCCAUAGCUGGUCUGAGAGGAUGAUCAGCCACAUUGGGACUGAGACACGGCCCAAACUCCUACGGGAGGCAGCAGUGGGGAAUAUUGGACAAUGGGCGCAAGCCUGAUCCAGCCAUGCCGCGUGUGUGAUGAAGGCCUUAGGGUUGUAAAGCACUUUCACCGGAGAAGAUAAUGACGGUAUCCGGAGAAGAAGCCCCGGCUAACUUCGUGCCAGCCGCCGCCGUUAA